UUGGGCGAGCAGAGAAGAUGGAAUAUAAGGGAAGAAGAGAUAAAAGUAAGAAGAAGAUUGAAAAGAAAUACAGAAUAUAAAAAGGAAGAAGCCGUCGUUGGAAGAGGGAGAGAGCGACGCAAGUCGCAAGCCGGCAGCAAGGCUUGGUGGAGGCCGGCCAACGGUGCAGCCGUCGUGCGGUGCAGCAGUAGCGGCGCAAGGCAGGCGAGGCGACGGCAGUCCGUUGGAGCAGCCAGGAUUCAAAUCUGUUUCAGAUCUCGGUAUCAGAUCUGGACAGGGGAGAAUUUUAUUUAUUUUAAUUUAGCUUCUUGAAUGCUUUGAAUUUAAUUUUGACUUGCUAAAUUAUUAAGCUAGGGUUUAGAUGUAAUUUAAUUUUUGGAUUAUGUGAUUGAUUGUUUUUUAGUUCAAUUUAAGACUUAAUUAUUAAUUACACGAUGAAUUUAUAUUAUUGAACUUAAUACUUCAAAGCUUAGGCAUCUUUUGGAUGAUUUUUGAUUUGUGCAUGUACUUAAGAAAUAAUUGCAUGAAUUAGACUAAGGAUAAUAUGAACCAUGUGUUAGACUAUGAGAUCGAGAGAUAAUUAGCAUCGCAUGUGGUAAUUGAGGAAGAGAAGAGAGUUAAGAGGUCCCCUUUCUUAAAUUAGAGGUUUCCAUAAAACUUAAUGCUCUCUUACUUGUUUAAAAUUACAGAGAUAUGAUUAAUUUAAUAAACAAAGGUAAGAUUAACUUGACUUGAGAGAGAUAGUUAAUUAGUUAAGGGAAAUUCGUCAUCUCAUGUAAUAAUAACUAAUAAUAUGCCCUAGGUCUUAUUGGUCUUAGAUUGAAUUAAUUUAUCAAUUGCAUAACCUAGAUUAAAUGCAAUAUAAAUCCCAGUGUCGUGAAAUUCCUUUAAAUUAACUAAUUUAAUUCACUUAAUUAAUUAGUUAAUUCAACUUAGGUUAGAUUAAAAUUGUCUUGGUAGUGUAGAAUAGUUCUCAUGGGAGCGAUACUCUACUCAUUUUAUACUGUAUAAUCAAUUAGAUUCAUUUGCCUAAACGUAGUGCAAAAUUUACACAUCAAGUUUUUGGCACCAUUACCGAGGACUAGUUAUCUACAUAUUAAGACUCGUAAUUUAGCUUUAGAUUGAAUUUUUAAUUUGUUUUGUUUAACCCCAGAUUUAUUUUGGAAUUUAAAUUGUUCUGUUUAUUCUAAAAUUUAUCCGUUUUCUGUUUUAUUAUUAUUCUUAUUAUUUUUAUAUCUAUUAGUGUUUUCUCAUAGCCGUGAGAGGUCUCAUGUUCUAUUCUUUUAGUCAACUACAUUUAAUUUGUUUUGUUCUUCAGUUUUUUUUUUUUUUUUUUUUGCAUAUUAUAUGACCUGUACGAGUGGUGAAAAUUUUGCACCAUUAGAUCCUAAAAUUGAGAGAACCCUUCACAAGGUAAAUAAAGAGAGAAAAUAAAAGAUGGCAAACACUGAAAGAGAUAACGUUAACCAUUCUUUGCUAAAAUAUGCUCAGCCUUCGGUCAAUGGGACAGUUUCAAGCAUACGGAGGCCGACCAUACAAGCAAAUAAUUUGAAAUUAAGCCAGCUAUCAUCCAGAUGAUUCAAACCUCAGUCCAGUUUAGUGGUUUAUCUAAUGAUGAUCCGAAUGCCCAUAUUGCUAAUUUUCUAGAGAUUUGUGAUACCUUUAAGCAUAAUGGUGUUUUAGAUGAUGCUAUAAGAUUGAGAUUGUUUCUUUUUUUCUUUGAGGGACAAGGCAAAAGGUUGGGUUAAUUCUUUACCUGCAGGGUCCAUUACAACUUGGAAAACCAUGGCACAACAAUUUUUAGCGAAAUUUAUUCCACCUUCUAAGAUUGUUAAAAUGCAUAAUGACAUCACUACUUUCGUACAGUUAGAGAUGGAAUCCUUGUAUGAGGCAUGGGAGAGAUUUAAAUAUUUUCUUAGGAAGUGCCCACAUCAUGGUUUACCUACACGGAUACAAGUGCAAACUUUCUAUAAUGGUAUAUCUCUUGCUCAUCAUUCUAUGAUUGAUGCAGUUGUAGGUGGUAUUAUCACGAGGACACCAAAAGAGGCAUGUAACUUACUAGAGGAGAUGGCUUCUAAUAGUUAUCAAUGUCAAACAAAUAGAUCAGUAGCUAGAGGCGUCCAUGGAGUAGAUACUUUUGCUGUGCUAUCUACUCAAAUGGAAGCACUCAACAAAAAGAUUGAUAGCAUGAGUGUAUCCGCUAUUCAAAGUGUAGCGUGCAAAUUGUGAAUUAUGUAAAGGAGGACAUGCCAGUAUUGAAUGUCAAGUAGAAAAUCCUUUUUCACAAUUAUCUGAGCAUGCUAUUUUUUUUGGUAAUUUUCACAGGCAACUGAAUUAUCCUUACUCUAACACGUACAAUCUUGGUAGGUGCAAUCACCCAAAUUUUUCAUAAAGCAAUCAAAAUCAAGUGAAGCUGCCACCUCCAGAGUUCCUACCUCAAGAUAAGAAGUCUAACUUGGAGGAGCUGAUGACCAAGUUUAUAACUAUUGCCGAGACUAGAUUCCAAAACCAAGAGGCUUCUAUUUGAAACUUGGAAGCACAAGUGGGGUAGUUAACUAACUUGAUGUCUAAAAGAGCACAUGGAUCUUUACCUAGCAACACAGAAAAAAAUCCCAAGGAACAAAUGCAAGCCAUAACUUUAAGAAAUGGUAUGGUGCUUAAAGAAGGAAGCUAAGGCUUGGUGAACCAAAGGCCACCACUGUAACUCUUCAAUUAGGAAAUAGGUCAAUUAAGCAUCCAAGAGGUAUAGUGGAGGAUGUAUUGGUAAAGGUUGACAAGUUUAUUUUUCUUGUAGAUUUUAUUGUACUAGACAUGGAAGAAGAUUAUGAGGUACCUCUCAUUCUAGGAAGUCCUUUCCUAGCUACAGGAAGAACAUUGAUUGAUGUUUAACAAGGGAAAUUUUAGAAUACGAGAUGAACAAGUCACUUUUAAUGUUUUUUAGGCCAUGAAACAUCCGUCGGAUGAUGAUACUUGUUUUAGAAUUGAUGACAUUGAUCAUGCUGUUAAUGAGUGUUUACAGGAAAAUAGGUAUGAAUACUCACUUGAAGCUUGCCUUGUGUAAUCAAAGGACACAAAGGAUGAGAAUGAUGACGCUAGAGAAAGUGCUAAUUACUUGCAGGCAAACCAAUUAUUCUUAAAAGGCAAAGGGCCGAGAUUUGUACUUUAGAGAGAUAACUAGUUCUCCGUCAAAACCUUCAAUUGAGGAGCCUCCAAAACUUGAACUUAAACCCUUACCUUCUCAUCUUAAGUAUGCAUUCUUAGAAAGUUCUUCUUCUUUACCUUUAAUAAUCUCUUCCUCUUUGACAAAGCUGAAGGGGGAAAAGCUUCUUAGAGUUUUGAGUAAGCACAACAAAGCAAUUGAAUGGAGCAUAGCAGACAUAAAAGAAAUUAGUCCUUUGAAGGUAAUCAAGUGUUUGAUAUAGGUAAACAACGAAGAUUUCAAUUGAAUGAAUUGGAGGAGCUAAGAAAUGAAGUUUAUGAAAGUGCCAGAAUUUAUACCACAAGAACCAAGGCAUUACAUGAUUUGCAUAUAAAGAAUAAGGAAUUUCAAUCCUUGAGAAUUGAGAAGUGAUAGUCAAGCUAUUAACUCUAAAGAAGCACUUGGUGGGAGGCAACCCAUUGUGUUUUUCUUUCUUUAAAUUCAGGUUUGAUUAUUAGCUUUAGUAAUUAUGUUGGUUUGCUACUUUUAAUUGUUUGCUUUGAGUUUGUUUUGUUUUUUAGGUCUUGUGGCUAUUAUAGAGCAUUCAGGAAGGGACACUUGUGACUACUAAGGAGCAUUCCAAGUUUCGCUAUGCCAAAUCAGGGAGUACUGUUUUGCUUUGUUCUUUACUUAUUUUCCACAUUGAGGACAAUGUUUAUCUUAAGUUUGGGGCAGGAAGUUCAUUUUUGCAUAGUUUUAUUUGUUAAUUUCUUUAUGCAUGGUUAUGGUAGAAUACUUUAAUGCUUAUGUUAUGAUGCAUAUGGUCAAUUCAAGUGAACGAUAUUGUUCUUGUUUGAUGACUGAUUCAAGAUGUAGCAAUAUCUUUUGCGAAGGAGUUGAAAGUUUUUUAUUAUUAUGAUUAUUGAAGUGUAUGUCUCCUUAAGAAGUUGUGUGAAUUUUGUGAUUAUGCAUGAUUGAAUGUUUGAUGUUUAUCUUGUUAAUUAUCCCUUGAAACUAGUCCUAAACAAAGAAAAGAAAAAGAACGAGCAAGGCUAAAUUUGUGUGCUUAUUGGUUUUGAUAUAUACCUACUCCAAUAUUUCAAGUUGCUUAGUAAUUGGAGAUUAGGCAUGACACCUAUGUCAAUUUUCACGUCAAACAAUGAGUUAAAAUAUGAGUGUGCAAAAGCACUCUAAUUAUAUGACUUGUUGAGUAAUCGGGUGUUUUUAUCACAAUUGUUAGUAUUCACAUCAAAAGACAAGUGAUAGUUUAGGGAAGUUGAAAAAAAUAAAAAAGAUUUUGGUUACUCAACAAGUCAUACACUUAGAUUGCUUUUGCACACUCAUAUGUGAAAGUUGACAUGGGUGUCAUGCCUAAUCUUCAUUUACUAAGCAACUAAAAACAUUAGAAUAGAUAUAUCAAAACCAACAAGCGCAUAUUUAGCCUCGCUCGUUCUUUUUCUUUUCUUUGUUUAGGACUAGCUUCAAGGGAUAAUUAACAAAAUAAGCAUAAAACAUUCAAUCAUGCAUAAUUACAAAAUUUACACUACUUAAGGAGGCAUACACUUCAAUAAUCAUAAUAAUAAAAAACAUUCAACUACUCUGCAUAAGAUAUUGCUACAUCUUGAAUCAAUCAUCAAACAAGAACAAUAUCGUUCACUUGAAUUGACUAUGCAUCAUAACAUAAGCAUUAAAGUAUUUAGCCAUAACCAUGCAUGAAAAAAUUAACAAAUAAAACUAUGCAAAAAUGAACUUUCUCCCCCAAACUUAAGAUGAACAUUGUCCUCAAUGUGAAAAUAAAUAAAGAACAAAGCAAAACAAUACUCCCCGAUUUGGCAUAGCCAAAACCUGGAAUGCUCCUUAGUAGUCACUAGUGUUCUAUCCUUGAAUGCUCUAUAGUAGCCACAAGACUGACAAAAUAAAACAACCUCAAAGCAAACUAUUAAAAGUAGCAAACCAACAUAAUUACUAAAGUUAAUGAUCAAACCUAAAUUUAAAAAAUGAAAAAUACAAUAGGUUACUUCCCACCAAGCGUUUCUUUAUAGUUAAUAGCUUGACUAUCAAUUCUCAAGGAUUGAAAUUCAUUUUUCUUUAUAUGUGAAUCAUGUCAUGCCUUGGUCUUGCAGUAUACAUUCUAGCACUCUCGAAAGCUUCAUUCCUUAACUCCUCCAAAUUAUUCAAUUGAAAUCUUUGUUGCUCACCUGUAUCAAACUACUUGAUUACCUUCGAAGGACUAAUUCCUUUUAUAUCUGCUAUGUUCCAUCCAAUUGUUUUUUUAUGCCUCCUCAAAAUUCUAAGAAGCUUUUCCUCCUUUGGCUAUUAUUACAAGUAAAGAAGAAAAACUUUAUAAGAAUGCAUACUUAAGAUGAGAGGGUAAAGGUUUAAGUUUUAGAGGCUCCUCAAUUGAAGGUGUUAUUGCUUGGUUAUAACAAUAGAUUUUUAACGUGGGAGUGAGAUGUGUGAGGUCCAACAAGUUUGAGGUGUUGUCUAGGUUUCAAAUGAUUUUGAGAGUUUCAAAUCUAGAUGUGAGUUAUCCUAAGGCUAUCUCCAGCAAAGUCAAUUUCAUCUCGCCAAAGCUAUUUUUGGUGAGAAUAUUAUUGAAAAUGAGCUCCAGUAAAGCUCGCUAUAGCUAUAUUUCCUUGCUAAAAAUUUGACAACUUUCAAAUGCCUCGUCAAUGUUGACGAGUGAAUUUUUCUCGCUAUAUCUCCCUCACCCCCAACUGCUGGCGGGAAGAGAAAACUAGACGAGGGAAGGGUGAAGAAAGUUGCAGGGCAGCGACGGCAGCAGGAGAUUCGGCGGCACACACCAGAUUCGGCGACGGUGGCAGUAGCAGAUCCAACUCCAGUGACGACAGCCACGAACUACAACAGCAAUGAGUAGCUUCAGCGUCUUCCUCAUGGAGUCUUCUUCACAACGUCUUCCUAGUGAUUUGUGAUUGCAUUUGUAUAUUUUGUAUAUUUUUUGUAUUAUUAUAUGAUUGAUAUUGAGUUGUGUAUUUUUUGUAUUUUUUUAUAUUGAUACCGAGUUCUUCACAGCAGCGACAGCGACAGUAUUAUUAUAUGAUUGAUAUUUUUUGUCUUCC
Molecule: long non-coding RNA, 6219 nt
Organism: Diospyros lotus (date-plum)
Lineage: Eukaryota; Viridiplantae; Streptophyta; Magnoliopsida; Ericales; Ebenaceae
Exons: 2
Source: RefSeq, a predicted model, not a curated record